CCCUGGAUCUCAUUGCUGGAAUAAGGUAAUUCACACCAGAAAAAGAGAGAGAGAGAGAGAGAGAGAGAGAGAGAGAGAGAGAGAGAGAGAGAGAGAGAGAGAGAGAGAGAGAGAGAGAGAGAGAGAGAGAGAGAGAGAGAGAGAGAGAGAGAGA
Molecule: long non-coding RNA, 154 nt
Organism: Portunus trituberculatus (swimming crab)
Lineage: Eukaryota; Metazoa; Arthropoda; Malacostraca; Decapoda; Portunidae
Exons: 2
Source: RefSeq, a predicted model, not a curated record